UGACGGAGGUUGGCGUGUGUCGGAGGACCGGGCGGCCGGGGGAGACGGCGGCUGGAGGAGCCGGGCGGGAUGUUGCUCCCUUCCCUGCGGCUCCGCGCCUCGUCUCCCAGGAUGAUGAUAGGAGGAGCUCGGAGAGGAGCCCCCCGCGGGACCCUCCAGAACCGGCCCGGGUUCGGAGAGGAGCAGGACGGGGAGCAGAGGAGCCGCUCGGCGGCUUACGGGACGGACGGGACAGCGACGGCGUCUCCCCGAGCGGCCGCGGGGAAAUCUCCUCGGAGGCUGCGGGCCGGGUUUGGCCUCAAUCCAAAAGGGAAAGGGGAAGGCUGUUGCUCUCGGGCCGCUCUGUGCCGAGGAAAGGAGGCUGUUUGCUCCUCAAAUAAGCCGUCUCCUCUGGGAACCGCAACGCUCUCGAGUUGCACCGGAUCGGAGCAGGAACGUACAGCGGAGACCCGUUUUUGGCAAAUUCUCGGCAGUCGUUUUAAGCUGUGUCUAAAUCGUGAAAAGGGACAUGGCCCCAUGCUGACCCCGUUUCCAGGUCAGCAAUUCCCCGCGGCCCAAGAGCGCGACGAGCCGGGAGCCCCCGAGGUUUGAGACCUCCUGAGUGACGGGUCCGUACCCUCGGAUCCGGGCACGGGCCUGAUUCUGCGACGUAGCGACGCUCCCUGUCCUCCGGCACGCGCGAUCCAGCUUUUGUGGCUUUGUUGUUAAGGAACUAGCCGGGGGCGUCUUGUCUUGUGCCACUUGGGUUUGGACCCAGCAGACCAUGAAGCGAGCGCUUUAUUUAAUCUAUUUAUUCUAUUUAUUCAGUGGGAGCCCAGCUGGGGAUUUAGGAAGUCGGCUUUGGCCAACGUGACAGCCCGGGAUGCGCUGCAGGGGUUUCCUGGCGGGCAUUGGGAGUACAGUUUUGGGGUAGGGUUCCCGUUUCUAGGUGGUGUAGCCCCACGGGUUGACCACCCCAGGCGGCUGCCAGCACGCGAAUGCUUCGGGGUUGCACGGGAAGACCAAACUCGAUGGACCCCAUCGCGUUUCUUGCUGGUGGGCCGUAUCUGUGCCCAGUGAUCUCUUGGCUUGCAGUGGAAACCCACCAGUGAUGGAGAGGAGACGGGACCUGAGGCUGAAAAAGUCCUCCAGCCAAGCUGGAGGAAGCCAGACGUUCCCACGGCAAAGCCACGCAGCGAUAACCUCCGUCGUGCCCUAUCUCGGAGACAGGAGCAGAGUGCAGGUCUGGGGUUUUCCCUGAGGUUUUCGGUUUCCCGCGGGUCUCCUUUCCAGCUCCCGGCAGCGAGGAGCUCUUUCUGUGCGGGGCGGCAGAGACGGAGCUUGGUUCGCGAGCCCAAUCUCUCCGCUGGUCCAGCUGGGGUUUUGGGAGCGGCGUGGACUUCGUUGCUGUCGUGGCUGUCUGAUCCAUCUCUGUUCAAGAUAAGCAGGAACUGUGUUUGUAUUGUGAAUAAAAUAGCCUAGCGAAAAGCCUCCUGGGUGUGG
RNAcentral lists this long non-coding RNA (1482 nucleotides) under Struthio camelus australis. RNAcentral's name for it is "lncRNA (ENSSCUG00000005838.1)". The record is from RNAcentral. Lineage: Eukaryota; Metazoa; Chordata; Aves; Struthioniformes; Struthionidae.